UUGCACAGUGAACACCAAGUGUGCUUUACAGUUCCCGUGGCUUUGACUCUAUGCUAGAGCAAUGUCCGUUGUUUCCCUCUGCAUGGAAAGGAGCAUUUAUCCUUUUAAAUGUUUUCAGAAAGCCAGCACAUUU
This 133-nucleotide small nucleolar RNA is filed under the name Aotus nancymaae (Ma's night monkey). RNAcentral describes it as "Small nucleolar RNA SNORA22 (ENSANAG00000006184.1)". It matches the Rfam family "Small nucleolar RNA SNORA22". Rfam says of the family: ACA22 is a member of the H/ACA class of snoRNA that guide the sites of modification of uridines to pseudouridines. The record is from Rfam by way of RNAcentral. Lineage: Eukaryota; Metazoa; Chordata; Mammalia; Primates; Aotidae.